UAGGCCCUUACCGCGAUCCUCACCGCGUGAACUCGCGCUCGGCCCUGUAGUAAAAUGGGGGUGAGAACUAACUUCCUUAGUUCCCAGUGGGUUCGGCCGCCGACUCCGCCGAUCUCCCCACUAGGUCCAAGUGGGCACCAGUAGAUAAUUGAUAGAUAGAUAGAUAAGGAAAGCGGUAAAUGACAGAAGUAAAGGUACUCUACUAUGCCCAAUCAUAAAUAUAUGAAUGCAUGUACAAUGAAAUAGGUAAGCAACUAACCCAUUACCAUGUCCAAAGGUAAAGUCAUUUACUCGUUCAUCAAUCUUAUUUACUUGUUUCUUAAUCUCGUGGCUUCCCUGAAGGAGCCUACAGCUCACUAGCCAUCUCGAAGGUAGGGAGGGUCAACUCGCACUACGAACCGAGACCGUCUGCCGGGGCCUAAAAUAGGCAAUCCCUUGGGACCCAAACUAGGCAAUCCCACGUGACCAACUCCGGAGCGCACUACUUGUGUGGGGCUUCCAUCACAAGAUUUAAAACAGACCGUGAGCAUGAUCCAAUCCUCGUCUCGAGAAUACCCUAUCCUUUAGGGGUACAAUCAUCAUAUAGUCCAUAGGUUUCACAUACACUAUGACUCAUAUGUGUCAUUUGUUCUUUUGCUUACUAGCAACUAAAUGCCACUUGUUCAUUUGUUUGCUAUCGACUAGAUGCCACUCGUUCUUUGUUUAACAUUAGACCAACCGUCGAGCCCAUCUCUUUCUCUGCACUAUAGGAUUCACAAGUCUCGACCCAAUCCUUAUCGAUCCACUACUAUGUCAAGUAUCCAAUACAUGCUACGAUAUCAU
Molecule: long non-coding RNA, 822 nt
Filed under: Ananas comosus (pineapple)
Lineage: Eukaryota; Viridiplantae; Streptophyta; Magnoliopsida; Poales; Bromeliaceae
Description: long non-coding RNA (ACOM_LNC024344)
Source: RNAcentral